RNAcentral lists this ribosomal RNA (35 nucleotides) under Agaricus bisporus (cultivated mushroom). Its description in RNAcentral is "partial large subunit ribosomal RNA". The record is from RNAcentral. RNAcentral also lists the same sequence under 1 other name. Lineage: Eukaryota; Fungi; Basidiomycota; Agaricomycetes; Agaricales; Agaricaceae.
GUAGGACUACCCGCUGAACUUAAGCAUAUCAAUAA